AAACCAACAGGGAUUGCCCCAGUAACGGCGAGUGAAGCGGCAAAAGCUCAAAUUUGAAAUCCUGCGGGAAUUGUAAUUUGAAGGUUUCGUGGUCUGAGUCGGCCGCGCCCAAGUCCAUUGGAACAUGGCGCCUGGGAGGGUGAGAGCCCCGUCCGGCGCACGCCGACUCUUUGCACCGCGGCUCCGACGAGUCGAGUUGUUUGGGAAUGCAGCUCUAAGUGGGUGGUAAAUUCCAUCUAAAGCUAAAUAUUGGCGAGAGACCGAUAGCGAACAAGUACAGUGAUGGAAAGAUGAAAAGCACUUUGAAAAGAGAGUGAAACAGCACGUGAAAUUGUUGAAAGGGAAGGGCUUGCAAGCAGACACGGUUUUACCGGGCCAGCGUCGAAAAGGGGGGAGGAACAAGAACUCGAGAAUGUGGCGCGCACCUUCGGGUGCGCGUGUUAUAGCUCGUGUUGACGCCUCCAUCCUUUUUCGAGGCCUGCGAUUCUAGGACGCUGGCGUAAUGGUUGCAAGCCGC
Molecule: ribosomal RNA, 517 nt
Filed under: Clavispora lusitaniae
Lineage: Eukaryota; Fungi; Ascomycota; Pichiomycetes; Serinales; Metschnikowiaceae
Description: eukaryotic LSU rRNA
Rfam family: Eukaryotic large subunit ribosomal RNA
Source: RNAcentral